CUGGCCUCCGACGCGGCCUCCUGGACGCCGGGGGCUCUCCCCGUCGGCGUUCCGCGGCAGUCCGAGGCGCGCAGCCCCGGAGCCUCACCCUUCUACCUGGGGUGGCGCGGCGGCCUCCCGCCGGCCACGCGGCAGCCGGGCCGCAGCCGCACUCUCCGGGCUGCAGAGAGCGGACUGAGCGGCGCGCACGCGGGGCCGCACCCGCGCCUCGUGUACGCCGGGACGCCGCGUGGGCCUACGGCCUUCGGACUCCGCGGUGCCGCCGGCCACGGAGCGUGGGCGCGGGGAGGGGGGCCGCGCACACCGGACCCCGGGCCGGGCGGGGAGGCGGGCGCCGCGGGGCCGGGAGGCCAUUUUGAGAGAGCGAGGAGCGGCGGCAAGAUGGCUGCGUGGGCACGAGGUAGGUCGCGGCGCGGCCCACAGGAGCGGAACGCGCGUCGAGCGCGCCCGCCCGGCCGUCCCCGCCGCCGCGCUCCGGGCGAAGGCCCUUCGGCCGCCGGUGACGGCGGGAGGCCGGGCCCGCGGACGGCCGCGGGGCCCUCCGUCGCGGCUGCUGCGCCCCGGGCGGGCCGGGGCGUGCGCUCCCGCCGGAGCCGCGCGCGAGAGACGCGUGCGGCCCGGGCCCUCCUCGCCCAGCCGCGCGCUGCGGGUAGGGGCGGAGCGGUGGCGCCGGCUCGGAGUCCGGAACCGCGCGUGCCUCGCGCUUCUUCAUUAUUUUCGAGGCGUGUCAGGCGCAUGGCCGACGCCCGCUUUUUUUCCUCCCCCGACACCGCGAGGCCCGAGCGGCGAGCAGGACCAGGCCGCCCUGCCCGGGACCGGCUGCGGUCCGGGGCUCGCGGACAUCAGGGGCCGGGAGCGGAGGAACCCACGCGUCUGGUGCGCUUGGCCCGAGGACGGCCCCGGAGGCUCCGUUCGCAUCCACCCGGCGGUGCUGCGGGUGCAGCACAGGAGCAGCACCUCCGAGCUCGGCCCUCCACCCGGGCCUCGGCCCAAAGUCUGAGCGAGCAGUGGCCCCGCAGAGGCCCCCUUCCCACCGAUUGAAUGAUUUAAGCGCGGUUCCCUUCCCCCCACCCCCCACCUCUAACUGCCCCUAUUGAUCCACCGCUGUCCUAAGGCAUUUGUACAGUGACUAAGAAACUCCAGUUCUGUUCGUUUGUGUUUGUAUUGAGUCCUCGCUUCGUACCUGGCGGGGUACUAAGCACUUCACGUGCAUUCGGGCCUCAGCUUGACAGGGAGAGUGGUGGCGAUUCCCUCUUUGUGACUUUGGCUGUAGCCAGGUUGUGGCAGAGUCCAGAUGUGGAUUCGGGGCUGUCUGCCCGAACGUCUGAGUUCUUAACCACAGGCUCUGCACAUGCAUACGUACGCACAGACACACGGAUUCAUCACCAUCGUGAUCUCAUCUGUCCAGCACCGAGUCUGUCCUGAAUCCAAGCCCCAUCUCCGCACAGCCCUACCUCGCAUAUGAGAGCUCUCCUGUCAUACCCUGCUCCCCCCGCCCCUAAUCUCCUGGCCUGAAGUCCUGGCCUAAAAUAACUGUUGUAUUCAAUAUUGGUCUGAGCCUCCUGGCAGCCAAGACAAAGAAGAAAAUGGGACAAUUUAUAACCUUGUUAAAAAAAAAAAAGAAGAAGCAGCAGCAGCUGAUUAGGGUUUUUAGGGAUAUGAACAUUUCUUCCUCUGUAAGAUUUAUAGAAAAUUUAAAGCUUGGUUAUUAUGGAGGUCAACUGCUUAUGUCACAGAUGAGGAACCAGACCCAGAGAGGUUAAGUGAUUUUCCCCAAGGUCAUAAAGUUAGCUGGCAGAGCAAGAACUGGGGUCCAGUCCAAUCAAUUCCCAGUUUCCCAUUCUUUCGUGAGCAGGUUUUAGUGGGUUUCUCAACAGUGAAAUAGUUCAGUUACGUUUGGUGACCCCUCCAUCUUCCAUAAAUUCUUCGGACCUGAAUGCUGUCUGUUCCUUUCUUUUCCCUCCGUUCCCACUGCUGGGCCGGGCUCAUCGUUGUGGAUGUCUGUAAAUAUUUGGUAAAUGAAUACGUGGUUCUAAAAAACUAAGCUUCUGGCUCUUGGAAAUGGUGGCGGGGGUGGUGGAGGGAGAGGUUCUAAGUUGUUUUUUGAAGGGACUUGGUUUUUUGAAUGUUGCAUCCCUGAGCCCAUGAAUUCCUUAGAUUUCUCUCUUUUAGCAAGUGGUGUGACCUUUUGGCAGUGGUCUGGCCCCUAACUGUCCUGUCACGUUGUUGGUGUUGUGGGAAGGAGUCAUGUCUCUCCUGAAGGACUGUGCUGUCAAUGAGAGCCGUAGGUCCCUUUAGAGUAACUGACGAAGGUUUCCCCGUUACACCGGCACAGUCACCGUGAGACCUGGUGGACCCAUUCUUUUGUCUUGGGGUGGAGAGCCAGCCUUUCUGUGCCAGCCCAGCUUUGGUUCCUGUGGCUUAAGUACAAAUAGCAGAAUGUAGUUCACCAGGUCCCCAGAACUUCCACAGAUUACUAAGUUUCCAUGGCUCCCAAAAGGUAGCCAGCCUUUGAACCCUGGCAUGAUAACUGUAGGUGCUGAAUGCAUUUAGUGAGCCUGCCACGGACCAGAGUCUCUGAAAAUUUGUACCAGAAAGUUGUCAUCCUUGGGUGCGGAGAGGGGGGUCUCCUUCUUGGUGAGGAGCCCCUAUUGGCAGAAACGCUCCAACACAUCCUGGCCAAAUCCUGACCAUCAUCUUUGGGCUGGCUCUGGCCAGGCAAAGCAGGGUGGAGAGCUGAGGCCCAGUUUACAGCGAAAGCCCCAGCUGUGGAAGAAAAACAGGGUUCAGCUCCCCAGAUUAGUUACUGUCUACAAGGAUUAAAGGCCCCAAAUAAUGGCUGGCCUCUCCCCUCCUCCGUGCCAAGGGAAGACAUGUAAAUACAGCCGCACGCCAGCUUAGGCAGUAGAUGUGUAUAAAUCGAAUUUAGCAAAUCAGAUCAUGGUUUAAAUGCACUAUUUAAAGCAGUCCUGCAGUGAAGCCUUUUACAAAGGGAAUAAUCAUUUUGUGAUGCUAAUCAUCGGCGUCCAAUUUAUCUCCUUUGUAAGUUCAGAUGUUGGUGCACUGGGUGUUCUGAAAUUGGGGCGCUCUUGUGUCAGGCUCUGGUGGUGGCUGUCUGCCUUCUUUUCUUGACCUCUCAUUUUAAAUGGGUGCAUGUCCUUGUCUCACUGGGGGCCUCAGGAUGCUUGUCACUUAGGCUGAUAGUUCUCAUCCAUCUCACCCAUCUUUUUAUAAUCUGAUAGAGCCCACCCUUCAGCUGCUCCUGGCCCCUUUUCUGAGAUUUGCACCCUUCCUGGGGGGGAGAUACAGGCCCUGCUGUUCUCAGGGUAUUAGAGCCAACUCCCCGUCUGAUCUGAACCUUCUUUUGUUUCUCUGAGUUUCUGGUACCUCCGGUGCUGCUCAUAAAGGAGAUCUCGGAGUCCACUAGAUACGUAGCAGCCUCUGAAUUUAGUAGGUGAAUUAAAGGCAGGCACCCACUUGCUGAAUAGGCACUGUCCGAAAUACUCUCCCCAUUCACGGCCAGAUAACUAGGCCUGGGUGUUAAAGUGACUUUUCCCACAAGUUAAAAUCGGGACUCAAAGGAGAACCUGUCUCCUAAUUGCUAUAAAAGUGUUUUAUACACUGAGCUGUAGUGCCUUUCUUUGCAGAGAAAAUAUAAUAAGAGACCAUCUGGGUGGGAGAGAAAGAAUGAAGGGAAAGGGAUGGAUCAGAGUGGAAUAAAGGAAGUGGGCAGGAAGCUGGGGGGGGGGGCGCGAGGAGCCUGACCUUGCUUAGCUCACAGGCCCUGAUAUAGUGUCUUUGUCAAUGCUGCCACUAUUGGCGCGUUCCUCGGUAAUUAUGACUGUGUGUUGGCAUGGCGACUCCGAGUAAGAAGCACCGGGUAAAUGCACGACUUGUUCUUGCCUUCUAAAGCAGAGAGGAGCUUUUGUGGGUAGUUCCUCCAGGGAGACGCGGCAGAAAAUUCACCAGACCCAGUGCUGGAGCGUGGGUAUUUGCAGCCUGAAGGAGCCGGGUGGCCGGGACUGGGGGCGGCACGCCCUCCUCCAGACCUGCCUCCAAUGCAGAGGUCAGGCCGAACCUCCCUCCUGUUCCUUUCUGUUGGUCUUUGUUCCCGAGCUUGUGAUGUCAAGUACACCCAUCUCUUCUCCCCUCCAGGUUUCCUGUUCCAAACAGGUUCGUGUUGCGCUCGUCCCCCUGAAUUUGAUUUAUCGUAAACUCAGCUGUCUCGUAGGCGGGUAUUAAUUGGGAGGCUGGGAGGAAAGGCCGGUGGGCCCAGCAGUAGGGAUGGAGUUUGGGGCUCCCCUUCCGACCCUGCUCCCCUCUCCUUAGAGAUACUUGGGCCACCUCAUCUUCCCAAAGCUGGGGAGGUUGCUGGAGCCAAGAGUUGGGCCGCCCAGUUAACCGCUGUUGAUCUCAUGAUAUGUGGUCAGCGCAGCAAGCUGAAACGAUGAUACUGGGUUAAACAAAACAUUAUUAAAAUAAGUUUGAUCUGUUUCUUCUUCCUUUUUAAUGUGGUUUCUAGGAAGUUUAAAAUGAUACAUGCAGCUCAUAGUUUAUUGGUCUAGACUAGAGGGCUAAGAUCUCUUCCAGGCCUGAAGUUCAGUAAUGAAUCUUCGUCUGUCCCUGGAAGGUCCCUGGCCAAAGAGAGCUCUCUGUAUAGAAGAAGGCCAUGGAAACGCCAGGCUGGAGGCCACCGGGAGGCUCAGGUCUUAUGGGGCUUUUAGAAGUGCCUAGUACAGCCCCUUAAAUGGGGGUUACCCCACAGUCCUUGGCGACAGAAGGCCUUGAAUCUACAGGCAACAUUUUGUUUUUGGAGUUUAGGAGAUGGGGAAGAAAACCAGUGGGUAACCCCCAGGAGUCUUUGAAUGGAGUUUGUGUGGACAUAGAUGUAGGUGACAGGAGCGUUGUCCUGGGGGCAGAGCACCUCCCCACCCCGCGUCCCUGUGCUUAUAGUGAUUUCGUAGUGUCUCAGGUGUGUGGAGACCACAGGGCAUAGGAAGGUGGCUGUGCAUCUCAAGUUCACACUAAACCCCCUUUAGGCAGGUUUCUUUUGGCCCGAGGGUUCCUCAUUGCCCCUCUCCUGGCUGCCCCUCCUCCCCUCGGCCUGUGCUGCUCUGUGCGAGCUGAAGCUUCUGGGAUGCGCCUUGGCUCAGAGCCAGCGUCGUCUUCUUCGAGAGGCCUCCUGCCCUGGCUCCCUGCCAAGCCUUGAGUCUUCAGAGAGAUUUUCUGGGGAGGUGCUGGGCUCAUCCUGCUGCCAGAGGGCAAAGGGGCCUUCUCACCUCAGAGGACUCCUGGCCAUGGGUCCAGCCUUGCUUCCAGCCCCCUUCUCCUGUCAGAAACUCCGGUUUCCUGCCCCGGAAACCCUGGACUCCGUUAAUGGUCUCCCAGCCUCAGUAAGCCUUGAGUUUAUGAAAAGACAGCUCCUCACACGAGCCUGGGAGGUGAGGAAUGGGCCGUCAGGAAAUCAUAAUGACGCUUGAUAAUGGUGACAGGAACCAUUUAUUGAGCACUUAUGCUGUGCCGAGUCCUGUGCUAACGCUGCGCAUGCUUUAUCUUCUUUUAAGGCCUGUCUCUUUGGGGAGCAGAAAGAAUGGUAAAUGUAAUCCAGGGUCUACCCUUGUUUUUCUAAGCCAGAUGUCAUGGGGUGAUUGCAUGGGGAAUAUCUCAGAAGCUACAGCCCUUGAGUAGGCGGUAGUCUGGGUCCCCCCGUGGGCCCUCAUCUCCCAAGGAGUCUGCCUGGGCUUUGGGGAACAGCAUGAGCCCAUCUGGGUUACUAGAAGGUGGCUCCGAAGUGCCUCCUGCUUUGGACUGGCAGUGUACCUGGAGAGUGUGAGUAGGAGGGCUCAGUGCUGGGCCCUCGGGAGCCUUGGUGAGACUCUAGGAGGGGUGAGAAGUGUCCCACCCAACCCUGGCUUCCUCCUGGUUGUCAGUGUGAACUGUAGCCUGGCUGUGCCUCACUCUGUAAAAUCAGGGGUUAGCCAAAGUCCACCAGUCUGCCCACGGUGCCGAGGGAUCAUACCUGCCCAGGGCGAGGCUGAGCCUCUGUUUUCUAGAAUGUUACAUCCCCCUGAGAUAGCACUGAGUCUUCUGGAGGGGGGUGAGGGAUCCACUUCUCUGUCCAGUCUUGUCUGGUGCUUAAGCAGAGAAUGCUAGACCGUCUUCCUGUCCCCAGAGUUCAGUGGCCCGGGAUAGGAGAGGUGGCAGAUGCCCCCGAGGGCAUGUCAUUUCCUUGGGGAGUGCUGGGGAGAGUGUUAAUAGAGAGGAAAGGCUCAAGUUUACAGCCACCCCUUCCACAUUGAGCCUGCAGCUUCCUUUACCCCAUUUUUAGUUGUUUCAGGUUCGUUUUUCUCUUUUUUGUCAUUGGAUCGCAGGUUUCAAGAUCGUGGUGGUUUGAAGCAGUGCGUGCGGCCCGAUGGGCAUCAGGGGUCUGUCUGCUCUAGUUCAGACCCUUUCGGGCACGUUAUUUCACCUCUCUCUGAGCCCGUUUUCUCAUCUGUCAAAUUGGGGAUAGUAAUACUGAGCUUGUGGCACUCAGGAAUGUCAGUUUGCACCCUCCAUCCGCUGCUGUUAGAGAAUGGGUGUAUAUGUGUUGGGGGGCAGAGGCGGGCUGAGCACGCAUGAGCCAGCAAGGCUGUGCCAUAGGGGACCAUCUCCCUGGUGUGCCGCACAUCGCUAAUGUGUGGAGGCGCAGGGAAAGCAGCCAACGAGGCGUGGGGCUCAGCUCUCUGUCAGUCUCUGGAAUAAGUCCUGGUGUUUACUGACCAUGCAUAAGCUCCAAGCUCCAGUACAGAGAGAACCCCAGGAGAACCCCAGACCUGCUCCCUGGCCCCUCCAAGCAGAAACGAGCCUAGUAAAGCACACAUUCAAGAGUCGAUGGCUUGACUCAGACUGUGGGAGUUAAGAGAGGAGGAAUUAGUUUGGAGUGGAGUCAUCAGAGAAGCCUCACUGUACCCAAACAGGUCUCCUAGGCUGAGCGGGGGAGGGACUCCCCAACAAAAGUUUGGGGAUGGAGCAGCAGGGUAGACUCCUGCAGGACCGGGCCAGAAAUCUGGGUACAGAUGAGCAGGUCAGAUGGUAGAGGCUGAGAAUAAGAGGGGUGGAGGGCAGGCUAAGGGAGCUGGUCUUGUCACCACCAUGUGCAAGAUCCAUGUGGGAGGCUACCGGGCUGGCCUGAGCCGAGCAGGUACCUCCCCUGGGCUCUCACCUCUGAUGGCUCUUGGCCAGGACUUUAGCACCUCUGGACUAUGCCACGGAACCUCGGAGCUCAGGAAUCGGAAGUCUUCCCAUGCCAGGCUAUAUUUUUGCUAUUGCAUUCAUUUAUCCACUCAACAUUUACUGACCGAGCGCUAUGUGUCGGGCUCUGGACAGUGCCUUGCGGAUACAGAGAAGCAAACCACAGUCCCGUGCUCAGCAAUUUAAACUUGUGUAAUACAGAAUUUCAUCUGGCCAUCCAGGUUGGGAAGGCCAGGCUGGGGGAAGGGGUGCUGGGGGGAUGACAGUUCUCACCAGUUUGUAGCUUUCUGGCUUUCCAGUCCCAGAAGCCUCGGAAAGCAGGGUCAGAGGUCAUUUCAUGCUUUGCCUGUGGUGACCUGAAGUUGCCAUUUAGCCUGGGCCAGAACUUUGCUUUUCCAGAUUCCAUUGGUUCUUUAUAGAACUGUGAUAUCCCAAUUGCCUUUUCUUCGUUUGAGGAACAACUUUGAUCUUAGAAAUCAGCAUAGCAGGAACCUAUUGAGAUUUGUGUGUGAGGUUGGUAAGGAACAUCUUCAAUGCAAUCAAAUAAUAAAUUACAUCUGGAAGAAUUCACGUACGGAAGGUUUCUCCUCCUUGGAAGAAAUCAGAUACUGUUUGGGGCAUCCAAGCCAGAAUUCUCUCCUGGUUCUGCUCAGACUGGAUCCUGAGCACAGGGGCUGGCAGGUAAGCCUGCCCUAUAGCAGCAGUGGGCACCCAGAUGCCUCCUGUCAACACAGCUGGAGUUUGAAGAGUCAUCCACAUAGCCCCUAGGCUGGGGCCCGCCUUGCAAAUGACUCCACUGGCCCUAACGCCCAGACCGCAGGCUGUCAUUCUGUCACUUGCCCCAGGAGCAGGAAGGCCAAACAGGUUUUAUUUUAUUAUAUUUUAUUUUAUUUUAUUUUAUUUUAUUUUAUUUUUUAAUUAUUUAAAUAAUUUAUUUAUUUUAUUACUAUUGCUUUGGUGGUUUUCUUGUUGAAGUCAGUGUGGGUGCGUGUGUGUGCGCGCGCGCGUGCGUGCACGUAUGCAUGCAUGUACGUGUGUGUGUUUAGAGAGAUAAAUCUAGAACUUACAUGGUAUUUUUGGUUAAAGUACUUGUCAGAGAUGUAGGAGGGACCAUGCCGUCUCCAUCUGCAUGGAAGGUGGCUCCAGGUCUUUGAAUGGAGCCCCAGGUCCUUGGCCACUAGAAGACUCUCAGUGGACGUAUCUUCCCCUCGGCUCCUGUAUGGACCACCCACCUGCUACUGAUGGCGUAGGAUGAGCGUAUGUGAAGCAGGCUUUCCUCGGUGGGCAAGAAACAGAUAGUGGGAUACAGAACAGUUCUUGACUCUGCUUCCAAAACCUUCCGCUUUCCUCCCAUGGGAACCCAGAGACGUUCUGGAGAGUGAUUUCCCAGGACUGGACACAUGGAUAUCCAGAUGCUGGCAAGGAGUGGGCCUUCCCUACACCAGGGUGGCCUCAGCACCCUUCUGGCUUCCCUUGUGCCUCUUUAGAGGUAGUCUGAAUGAAUGUCAUGUGCACAGAGACUGGCCUUGGGUUUACAUUUGGUAGCCAGUUGACAGCGGUGCUUCAGAGAUGAAGCUCUGAAGCUGACAUUUCCUCCGGGACAAAGCGCGUGCAUAGUCUCCCACGCUAGCCCCUGACACUCCUCCAGAGGAGAAGCCAAGAGCAUGGUUGUCCCGUUUUCCAUCGUGUUCUCUCAUGUUCCUUCUGUCCCCUCCAGGACACAUUCCGGAAUCAGAAGACAGGGAACGAAGAAGCGGGAGCCCCGGUGGAAGAUUCCGAAGGUGGGUCCUGGCCUGACACAGGCCGUGGGUUGUGUGUGCGUGUGUGUGCAUGCGUACGCGUGCGUGUGCGUAUCCACAGUUCAUUCCAGCGGCUGCUCCAGACUCUGUGCACGAUGCGGUUAUGUGGCUGUAGAUGGGUGAUCCAAGGUCGAUUUGGGUCUUGGGUUAUGGUUUUUGUUUUGUUUUGUUUUGUUUUUCCUGAUUCAGGAAUAAAAGAACCCAGUUUGGGGAGGAAAUAAAAAGGAAAAUCCCCUGAUGGUUCUUGGACCAGCUGCCUACUUAAGUUGACCUAUAUGAAAUUUCUUUUUUAUCGAUCUAAAACAGUCAAAUAUCGGUACUUUCAUAUGGUUGAGCCUAAUGCAUUUCUGCUCUGCUGGGCCAGUGCAGAAGGGGUCACCCCUUCCCUGUAUCCUUAGAAGCACUUUUUACUGGGUCUCUGAGAUGUAAACCCUUCGUGUUCCUCUGCAUCCUAUAUACCCUGCUCAAAAUUAUUUUAACCGAAAAGAGGAGAUCACCCCAACCUGUGGGUUCUGCUGCUUGUGAAAACAAUGCCCACGAGGUUCCACUUUGCCCUGACUUUAAGCCACACCAUCUUAAAAUGCAGGAGAGUUAAUAUGACUUUGAACACCUCUCUUUCAGUAUUAAAGAAAAAAAUCCUCAGGGCAGUUCAGACGAGCCUGACUAAGGGCUGAGACCGGUUCCGAACUUUUCUGGCUCGUGGGGCAUUUGCUUCCAUCUGGAUGCCUGGAAUCGUAUUCUUACUUCGCCUCCCGUGUAGUCCGCACUCCUGGGAGACGGAGCAAAGGAGCAGGUCGUCAAGAGCUGGCUCGCAGCCUGUCCAUAACCUUGCAGCCACCCCCGGUGCUGGGCGAGCAGCGAUGUGGGCUUUUGACUGAAUGCCGUCCCGUCCUGCAUUCAUUACACUAUUGUCAGCGUGUGUGUCUGGGGCUGCCUCUGGGUGGGUGUGUUUCUUUUUGUGUCUGCGUGUCAGUGUCAGGCUGUGUGUGUCUGUUUACAUCGGCCUGUCUGGGCCGCUCACUGCGACAAGGAGCUGGGGGUUGUUGGUAGCAGGGAGGGCAUUUCAGAGCCCCAGAUCUCCCCCCUCGGGGACCUCGGGAGAUUUCUAUAGAUGUGCGUAUACAUGUGUACACACACGCACACGUCCAUGUCACGCGCGCGUGUGUGUGCGCGUGGUUUUCUUAAUGGGGCUCAUUGUGUGGGGAUGCAUGGGAGUGUCUGACCAGGUGCGGUGUGAGCAGCCUCGAGGCUGGGUGAGCCCCAUCUGCCGUGAGCUCACAGACUCGCCUGCCCGCCCGCCCGCCUGCCGUCCACCGUCCGUGGGGAGCCUGUCCCUUCGCAGCUCACCAUCUCCUCUCUAAUUUAUUAGCUGGGAAGGAGGAGAAAAUGAAACGUUGCCUGAAGACAAUGGCCGAGACAGCAGGUCCCACCCUGCACAGCCUGCCAGCACCUCUCCCCCCAGCCCCGUCUCCUCCUCUGCAGCUUGGAUCUGUACGUUAACACUGCUCGUCUGCAGAAAGAAAUAAAAAGAACCCCCCCCCCGCCUCGGAACCAAUCUAUAAAAACAACGUGUCUGGCCGUGAACAUGCAGGGGCGGCUAUAGACUGUCAAAGGUGGAGGUUUGAGCCAGACUUUGCUGACUGCUGGCCCGGUGGAUACAAGGCCCCUCAUCCAUUCUUGGGGCCCCCACCUCUGAGUCCUAGGACUUCUCCCCAGCUGCCAGCCAGGCGGGGGAGGGGAGAGGGGCCCAAGCAGCUGCAGGGGCUGUGUUAGUAAACACUUUCCUGGGUUCCCAUUUUCCUCACCACCCCCUACCCUUCUCCACUCCUGAUGCCCCGUUACACACCACCCCCCCCCAACCCCAGCAUCCCCUUUUCUGUGGCCUGCACAAUGAGCUCAUUGUCCUGGGUGUGAUUUGAAUAAGGGAUCGGCGGGCCCGUUCCCAGCAUUGUCCGAGGGGCUGGGAAAAACCCCAGCACAGGCAGGAGGACCAGGCCAGACAGAGACAGAUGCCUAAAUUAGCAACAAAGCUUUGUGCACGUCCCCUGGACAAGGGCUCGCCUUGUUUGCGUGGACUCGAGGGUGUGGAGCUGGCCGGCUGCUCGCAUGUCUCCCCAUGUUAAUUAGUUUUGCAUGCAUGUCUGAGAAGGUGCCAGGGGGGAUGUGUUUGCCUUUCCCCGGGAGGGGGACCUGUUUGUGGCGGUGGAGCUGAGCUGGACCGGGCCUACCUGGGGAGCCGGGCUCUGAGCCUGGGUGGGAAUUUCGGCGUCCUCAUCCUGCUUUUCUGUCUCUCUGCCCUUUGGGGGGCCUGGCUCUGCUCCCUGUACCCCCCCACCGUUCUUACCCUAGCACGUCUGAAAGUUGGUUAGCUCUGACUACAGGGAACUCACUGGCUUCCACCCAGACCCAAGCCAGUGCCUGUCCAUCUGGCAGUCUGUCUCUCGUGACACGGGGCCCCCCGGGACGGGCAGCAGAAGCGGCCAGUCUGGGCUCUCCUCCGUCCCCGAGCCAGAUGGCCAGUCUGCUUAUCGCAUUACGGCCUCCCUUGGCCCCAGACCCCCGCCGCCCACAGUUGGGCCAGGAUAUUAUUUGGGAUAUGAUGGAGAAGCCCUCUUUCAGGCCCUGAACGGGAAAAGGGUCGGGAAGACAGGCGCGAGGCAUGUCCUUGCCACUGGCUUGCUUUGUGACCUCGGGCAGACCAAUUCUCCCCGACACCCUGAAUCUUAGUGUUCUCACCGGCAAAAUGAGUGAGUUGUACUUCCGAAAUCUCUUGGUUCCUUAUAGCUCAGAAUGUCUGUGACGGUGAGCAUUGCAAAGCUGUGUUGAUUUAGCACUCGCCGAUUUAGCCCAAGGACAGGGAUGGGACCCGUGAAUUCCGGCCAGGGGUGAAGGAGGGCAUCGUGGGAAAGAUUUCACUCCCGUUGACACUGGAGCGUGGACCUCGGUUUUGGGAGCGGGUGGGGAAUCAGGAGCUGGCAGAGUGUCUCUUCCUGGGCUCUCACAGACCCCCCGUUAGCAACCCAAGCCCUUCUCCUGCCCCCAUCCAGCAGAAGGGAGCUUGGCGGUGGCAGCAAAGGAGAAGCUGAAGGGAGAGCAGCUGCUGGCCGUGCCCCGGGUAUGUCCGGGUCGCCCCCUGCAGGCCCUGGCAUGGGGGACAGGGUCGAGAAGGGGCUGGAAGCCUGCGGAACUGGGCCGUCAGAGUUUCCUCAUAGUAACGUUGAGAGGUGGAGGGGGACGUGGGGCAUGGCCCCUCGUGUGCAAGUGCAGGGGUCUCAGGAUCCAGUGACCAGGCGGUCUGGCUCCCAGGCCCUCCGCGGCCUUCACCCCCCUCAGCCCCACUGGCCCUGCCCUCUCGCCACCGCUCCCGGGUCAGAAGCACCCCGAGCCUGGGGUGCUCACAGUCCAAAAAGCCCUGUGCCAAAACCUCCAGUUCCUUCCUGUGGGGUCUUUAUCCUGGAUGGACCCAUCCCAUCUCAUUUGUUACAGAUCUGGUGACACCCUGCCUACAGAAGGGAACUCUUUUUCCUGUGUUUGUGAUUUAAAUGACUUGGGAUGACUUUGGUUCAGGAAAUGCUGGGGGGUCUUGGGGAAGAGCUUUGAGUGUCCACAUUCCUUCCCUUGGCCCUUGCCAGCCUCCCCUGCCUCUGGCACUUCCUCCUGCUCUCCCCUCCGGUAUAUGGGAGGCGCCUUGCCCUGGAGUCCGGCAGCCGCCCAGAGGGACCCACAGGGAGCCUCUGGGAUUACCCUUAGGUGGCUCUCAGUCCAGGCAGGGAGGCUCUGGGCCUGCCUCCCAGCGCCCACCUUCCUUCCCUCCCAUGUGGCUGCAGCCGGUCUGCACGGCCCAGCACGCUCACUCCUAAUACCCUGGCUGCCGCUCCCUGCCACUUCUCCCGUCCUACCCUCUCCUGGGCUCCGGGGCUGUCCCAGCUCCAGCUGGGUAUCUGUAGGGGGAGGAUGUCGGAAGCUCAGUGAGGAAGAGCGCAGAGAUUAGAGCUCAUGGCAGGAACACAGAGAAGGACCCACAGUAGGAGUGGGGGAGGGAGACAGGGGAGGCAGGGCCUUGGGACGCUGCCCGCUGCCCUCCCUGCCCCUCCCCACGCCGCCCUCCCGGUUUUAGCUGCCUCAGCUGUAGCCCUGAGCUCCUUAAUCUGGUGAUCAGCGUGGUGCUGGGGGGCGGGCUGGCAGAGGCUUUAGGAGGUGACAGGGGAUCUUGGGAGUCGCACUCUGCUAACCGAGCGUCACGCAAAGCCAGGGAAUCACAUUCCAAGCGCGGUUCCCCCUCCUGAGGCUGGACCCGGCACGAGCGGUGCCCGGUGGAGUGGCAGGGCCCAGGCCGGCGUCACCUUGUUCUUUGUUCCUCAGGAGGAAAAUUCCCAAGACCAAGGCUCUCCAGCCAUUUCUGCGUGGCGAAGGUUUUAUUGUUUGGUGGCUGUCCCCACCCUUACCCCCAGCCUCCUAAGUCCUCUGGCUCCCGUUUCCCAGUUAGAAAAAGACAUCCAUAAGUGGUAGGAAUUCCUCCCCGCCCCCCACCGGCAACCUGUCGGGGUCCAAAGAUACGCAUUUGUUCUGGAACUAAUCAAAUAUGCUGAGCAGUAUGCCUCCCUUGCUCACCAGCUUAGACUGAGUAGCCCUGAGAGAGCCUUGGGGAGAUAGGAAAUUGAGGCAGAGAUGCUGAGCACAAAUCCACGUGGUUCGGGUGGCUUCUGGCACCUCAGGACAGGGUGGCCCCAGCCUGGGACUUAGCUGGAGAGGCGGGACAGAGGGAGAGGUGCUGGGGGCAGAGGCUCUGCUUCUGGCAUUACUGUGCAGCAGUCCCCUAAAUGUCUUCGAGUCUCUAAACUCUCAUCUGUAAAAUGGGAAUAAUGAUCCCCAUCUAUAGAGUUGUAAUGAGGAGUGCUAAGUACACAGGAAACCCUCGAUAGGGUUCGUUUUCCUUCUCCCUUUCCCCUAGGUACAGGGCAGGUAUGACGGCGUCGAGCUCCUCAGGGUCAGGUGAUAUGGCUGGGAUUUGAGGGAGGAGGACAGCGGUGAUAUACGGAAUAUUUAACCGUGGGCACCGGCCAGUCGGAAUGGCAGCUGGCCCAAAUCAUCAGCCCAGGGAGGAGGGCACAGCUGGGCCAGAAUAAGUUCAUUUGUCUUUGUGUCUUUCUGCUCCAUCACGUGUCUGUUCAUCAGCAAGUGCACAGACUUCCCUCGAGGGCAGUUGCUGACAAGGUUGUAGGGUGCGGGCUCCCUCUAUCUCCUUUGCGUUCUGAGCAGGUCAGGUCUGCCUGGCAUGGGGUGCCGUGGCCCCGCCUGGCAGAGGAGCCGGCGACAAAGGGCAGGGAGCUGAGGUCCUUUCCAGUUCGAGGCCCUGCCCUGGUUGUAGCUCUGCCACCAGGCUCUGUGGGGACAAGCUUCUGGUAGCCCCUACCCUCCCUACAUCCCUUAGAGCUGGCCUCCUUCCUGUCCCUUCUUCUCAGAAACAUCGUGGGUCAGGAUUAGGGGCCUGUCUGCAUUCAGAUCCAUUUCCUCCUGCCUGUUUUGUCAUCAGCAGGAGAGGAUCCUGGCGGUGACUGGCUGUGGAGUAUCGGGAGGGUGGUGGUGGCGGUGGUGUGGAGAGCGUUCUCUCAUUUUCAGGAAGGCUUCUGGCCUCAAGGCUUCCCGAAGCCACCCCUUUGCCAACAGGAGCUCCUCUUACCUGGUCCUUCUUUUUUGCCUCAUUGCGUAAAAUCCCUGCCUUUAAGGGCCCAAGGCGGCCUGGUGGAGUGACAAGGGCAUGGGGAGAUACAGCCCCACUUAGCUGCAAGUCAGAGACUUGGCCUGCAGUCCAUCUUCCUGCUGCAGAGUCUUAGGUGAACCAGCUCCCUUUCUGGAGCUGGAAAAGCAGCAUUGGAUAGAAUGGCAUCUAAGGUCCCUUUUAGCUGUGACGUUUUAUAAUCUGGAAGUUCUCCCUGCUUUUUCUCCUCUGUUGCCUGCCAGCAGUCCCCCCCCCCCCCCCCGCCCCACCCAGCCCCCUGGCUCACAGGAAACCCAACCAACUUGGUUCCCUUCAAGUUGCCCUGGGAUGCAGGGAGGCACCUUCACCCCGAGGCUACAAAAAUGAAUACCCAGCUCACUGCUGGCAAGUGUCAUGAAGCUGGGAGGUGACCCGCCCUGGAGCAAGACUUGCGCGCUGGAGAGCACACUUGUCAGCUGAGUUUGUUCCCGGCCUCUUACCGGAAGCCUCCUCUUCUCUUCCCCUUUUCUCUGACUGGUGUCUGCCCAUGUGCCUCUGACUGCCAGCUGCUGGCCCCUUGGGCGGCUUUGCAGUGUUCUGGGGACCCGGCCCGUCCUACUUCCCUGGGCCAGGGCCUUUAGACUUAGAAGCCAAAGCCCCCAGAAACAGUCCAUGGGGAAGACACUAUCUCCCAAUGGCUGGCCCCUCUCCCCAGCACCCCCAGCCAGGUGGCUGUGUCACCGUGUGGGCACAAGUGUGGGCCGUAGCGUCAGGUCAGCAUGGGCUCAGGCCCUUAUAUGGCCAGCAUGACCUUGGGCCAGCCCUUUACCUCUCUGAGACUGUCUCUUUAUGUCCAAAAUGGGAAUAACCACACCUUUCUCAUUAAGUUGCAGUGGGGGGUAGAAUACGGGUAAAACACCUUGAAAUUAUACGGUGGCUGUCUUUUACCUCCCAGUAGAGGCCACAGACAUAAACCAUAAACCAUUGUCUUUCCUGACCCCUUGCCUUUGAGUUUCAGUCCUACUGUGCUGGGGAGGUUCUGACACAACCUUCAGUGAGCACCUCCCCCCAGCCCCAGGGAGCAGAAGUACCUACUUUCAGCCCUAAUAAUACCUGAAUGAGAUUUAUAGGACACCUUCCUCCCCAGAGUGCAAAGCUCCUUCUCACAUGUUAUUUCUCUUGUCUUUAGAUUGUCCUGUGAAGUGUGAUGGGACAGCCUCUUUUCAGCUUCUCCGAAAAUGGAGACAGAGAGGAAAACUGCGGGUCUUGCCAAGGGCACGGGAUCAGAAUCCAGAGCCACGCCACUCCAGGACACUGGAGAUGGUCACAUCAAGCAGAAGUCGAAGCUGCGGGAGCCGCUGUCCUGAGGCUGCAGCGGGCAGGGGCCAGGAUGGAGGAGGCGGCCCUGGGCAAAGGGGCAAGCUCCACCCCUACCCGUGCCCACCUAGGACUUGGCAAAGGACCUGGGGACACGCGCCCUGACCGUCCAUCCUGCCGGGAGGGGCCUCUGCCUUUGGCCAGCGGGCCCCCGUUUCUGCCCUUGUCACACCACGUGCCUGUUUCAGGUCUGCGGUACUCUGACCAGGCCUCCAGCAGACAGAAGCUCUUUGCUCUCCGUACGUCCGCCCCAGAGGACCGAGGGCAGCAGUCUGCGAGGUGGCCAAAGCAAGGGGCUCCAGCCUUCUAGGAGUUAACGACUCCCUCUCCCCAGCUGUCCUCCCCUUGGUGCUCCUCUUCCUCCCUCCUGCCGCUCACAGCAGGCAGGGCCUGGACCUGGGAGCCAGUGCCGCUGUGCUGUUGCCAGGGGAGCUGGGAGGCGGACCUGAGCUAUGCAGGGAAAAGGCCCGGCCUGUCAAAGUGUCUGAGAUGAACCGCCGCCGUCCCCGUGCAGCUGGGCUCAGACGUGUCUCAGCUCUUGUUCUGUGCCUGAGAAUGGCGAAGCCCAGUGAGGUUCAAGGGCACACUCACUAUUCAUUAGUCAGGGGUUCUUGACGUCCCGUCUCUCCCAGGGAUGAGAUCCCCCCCCCCUUCCUCUUUCUCUCCCUCUUGCGACACAUUCCUGGGUGCCUUUGGCAAGGACUGCACCCUCCUCUUCCUCCUGCCCAACCCCCUCUCCGCAGGCCCCUAAACAGACUCCCCGCAAGGAGACCUGGCGGGGCAGAGACAAUGGCCACAGGAAACCAUUCAGGCGGGACUCUAGCCAUGCUGGUCCGCCCUCUGCUCCCAGCACCCUUGUGGCCCCCACCCCCCUCUGACUCAGGGUCCCCCUGGGCCACCGGCAUGCACAAGCCCAGACAGGAGGAAGCCACUGGGCAUUGCCCUUGGGACAACAGGCCUGUUCUCAGCGGGCCCCCGGAUCUCACACAGCUGGCU
RNAcentral lists this long non-coding RNA (17103 nucleotides) under Lynx pardinus (Iberian lynx). The record is from RNAcentral. Lineage: Eukaryota; Metazoa; Chordata; Mammalia; Carnivora; Felidae.